RNAcentral lists this ribosomal RNA (254 nucleotides) under uncultured bacterium. RNAcentral's name for it is "partial 16S ribosomal RNA". It matches the Rfam family "Bacterial small subunit ribosomal RNA", at positions 524 to 776 of the family's 1533-position model. The record is from RNAcentral.
UACGUAGGGAGCGAGCGUUGUCCGGAUUCAUUGGGCGUAAAGAGCUCGUAGGCGGUUUGGUAAGUCUGGUGUGAAAUCUCCACGCUCAACGUGGAGGGGCCACCCGAUACUGCCAUGACUGGAGUCCGGUAGAGGAGUGUGGAAUUCCCGGUGUAGCGGUGAAAUGCGCAGAUAUCAGGAGGAACACCGAUGGCGAAGGCAGGUCUCUGGGCAUUAACUGACGCUGAGGAGCGAAAGCAUGGGGAGCGAACAGG